RNAcentral lists this transfer RNA (72 nucleotides) under Loxodonta africana (African savanna elephant). It matches the Rfam family "tRNA". From Rfam's summary of the family: Transfer RNA (tRNA) molecules are approximately 80 nucleotides in length. The record is from Rfam by way of RNAcentral. Lineage: Eukaryota; Metazoa; Chordata; Mammalia; Proboscidea; Elephantidae.
GCAGUGAUGGUUCAACGGUAGAAUUCUCGCCUUCUAUGUGGGAAGACCCAGGUUUGAUUCCUAGCCAAUGUC